UACGUAGGGUGCGAGCGUUAAUCGGAAUUACUGGGCGUAAAGCGCACGUAGGCGGAUCGAUCAGUCAGGGGUGAAAUCCCAGGGCUCAACCCUGGAACUGCCUUUGAUACUGUCGAUCUGGAGUAUGGAAGAGGUGAGUGGAAUUCCGAGUGUAGAGGUGAAAUUCGUAGAUAUUCGGAGGAACACCAGUGGCGAAGGCGGCUCACUGGUCCAUUACUGACGCUGAGGUGCGAAAGCGUGGGGAGCAAACAGG
RNAcentral lists this ribosomal RNA (253 nucleotides) under uncultured bacterium. Its description in RNAcentral is "partial 16S ribosomal RNA". It matches the Rfam family "Bacterial small subunit ribosomal RNA", at positions 524 to 776 of the family's 1533-position model. The record is from RNAcentral.